AGAGACCCACAAAUCUCAUGUUCCUGCCGUACUGGCUGGGUAAGAGGGAAAAUGUUCUGCAUUUCCCUCUGAAUGGGUGCUUUGGGGGUAAUGCCCUUGUACGUGCCCCUUAACAAUCAUGUCACCAAGACCUGAUAUGU
Molecule: unclassified non-coding RNA, 140 nt
Filed under: Taro vein chlorosis virus
Lineage: Riboviria; Orthornavirae; Negarnaviricota; Monjiviricetes; Mononegavirales; Rhabdoviridae
Source: RNAcentral